GGUUAAGCGACUAAGCGUACACGGUGGAUGCCUAGGCAGUCAGAGGCGAUGAAGGGCGUGCUAAUCUGCGAAAAGCGUCGGUAAGCUGAUAUGAAGCGUUAUAACCGACGAUACCCGAAUGGGGAAACCCAGUGCAAUACGUUGCACUAUCGUUAGAUGAAUACAUAGUCUAACGAGGCGAACCGGGGGAACUGAAACAUCUAAGUACCCCGAGGAAAAGAAAUCAACCGAGAUUCCCCCAGUAGCGGCGAGCGAACGGGGAGGAGCCCAGAGUCUGAAUCAGUUUGUGUGUUAGUGGAAGCGUCUGGAAAGUCGCACGGUACAGGGUGAUAGUCCCGUACACCAAAAUGCACAGGCUGUGAACUCGAUGAGUAGGGCGGGACACGUGACAUCCUGUCUGAAUAUGGGGGGACCAUCCUCCAAGGCUAAAUACUCCUGACUGACCGAUAGUGAACCAGUACCGUGAGGGAAAGGCGAAAAGAACCCCGGCGAGGGGAGUGAAAUAGAACCUGAAACCGUGUACGUACAAGCAGUGGGAGCACCUUCGUGGUGUGACUGCGUACCUUUUGUAUAAUGGGUCAGCGACUUAUAUUUUGUAGCAAGGUUAACCGAAUAGGGGAGCCGUAGGGAAACCGAGUCUUAACUGGGCGUCUAGUUGCAAGGUAUAGACCCGAAACCCGGUGAUCUAGCCAUGGGCAGGUUGAAGGUUGGGUAACACUAACUGGAGGA
This 729-nucleotide ribosomal RNA is filed under the name Yersinia pestis Nepal516. RNAcentral's name for it is "bacterial LSU rRNA". It matches the Rfam family "Bacterial large subunit ribosomal RNA", at positions 1 to 773 of the family's 2925-position model. Lineage: Bacteria; Pseudomonadati; Pseudomonadota; Gammaproteobacteria; Enterobacterales; Yersiniaceae. The record is from RNAcentral.